AAAUUGAAGAGUUUGAUCAUGGCUCAGAUUGAACGCUGGCGGCAGGCCUAACACAUGCAAGUCGAACGGUAACAGGAAGCAGCUUGCUGCUUUGCUGACGAGUGGCGGACGGGUGAGUAAUGUCUGGGAAACUGCCUGAUGGAGGGGGAUAACUACUGGAAACGGUGGCUAAUACCGCAUAACGUCGCAAGACCAAAGAGGGGGACCUUCGGGCCUCUUGCCAUCAGAUGUGCCCAGAUGGGAUUAGCUUGUUGGUGAGGUAACGGC
RNAcentral lists this ribosomal RNA (267 nucleotides) under Salmonella enterica. RNAcentral's name for it is "partial 16S ribosomal RNA". It matches the Rfam family "Bacterial small subunit ribosomal RNA", at positions 1 to 264 of the family's 1533-position model. The record is from RNAcentral. RNAcentral also lists the same sequence under 2 other names. Lineage: Bacteria; Pseudomonadati; Pseudomonadota; Gammaproteobacteria; Enterobacterales; Enterobacteriaceae.